RNAcentral lists this ribosomal RNA (253 nucleotides) under uncultured bacterium. Its description in RNAcentral is "partial 16S ribosomal RNA". It matches the Rfam family "Bacterial small subunit ribosomal RNA", at positions 524 to 776 of the family's 1533-position model. The record is from RNAcentral.
UACGAAGGGGGCUAGCGUUGCUCGGAAUCACUGGGCGUAAAGGGUGCGUAGGCGGGUUUUUAAGUCAGGGGUGAAAUCCCGAGGCUCAACCUCGGAACUGCCUUUGAUACUGCAAAUCUCGAGUCCGGAAGAGGUGAGUGGAAUUCCUAGUGUAGAGGUGAAAUUCGUAGAUAUUAGGAAGAACACCAGUGGCGAAGGCGGCUCACUGGUCCGGUACUGACGCUGAGGUGCGAAAGCGUGGGGAGCAAACAGG